CCUACGGGGGGCUGCAGUGGGGAAUAUUGGACAAUGGGGGCAACCCUGAUCCAGCCAUGCCGCGUGUGUGAAGAAGGCCCUCGGGUUGUAAAGCACUUUCAGUGAGGAAGAACGCCUGGUGGUUAAUACCCAUCAGGAAAGACAUCACUCACAGAUGAAGCACCGGCUAACUCCGUGCCAGCAGCCGCGGUAAUACGGAGGGUGCGAGCGUUAAUCGGAAUUACUGGGCGUAAAGCGCGCGUAGGUGGCUUGAUAAGCCGGUUGUGAAAGCCCCGGGCUCAACCUGGGAACGGCAUCCGGAACUGUCAAGCUAGAGUGCAGGAGAGGAAGGUAGAAUUCCCGGUGUAGCGGUGAAAUGCGUAGAGAUCGGGAGGAAUACCAGUGGCGAAGGCGGCCUUCUGGACUGACACUGACACUGAGGUGCGAAAGCGUGGGUAGCAAACAGGAUUAGAUACCCUAGUAGUC
Molecule: ribosomal RNA, 465 nt
Filed under: Vreelandella stevensii
Lineage: Bacteria; Pseudomonadati; Pseudomonadota; Gammaproteobacteria; Oceanospirillales; Halomonadaceae
Description: partial 16S ribosomal RNA
Rfam family: Bacterial small subunit ribosomal RNA
Source: RNAcentral